AGAGUUUGAUCCUGGCUCAGGACGAACGCUGGCGGCGUGCUUAACACAUGCAAGUCGAACGGAGCCCAUCCGGUGGCAACACUGGUGAAGACUCAGUGGCGAACGGGUGCGGAACACGUGAGCAACCUGCCCCAAAGACCGGGAUAACACCGGGAAACUGGUGCUAAUACCGGAUACCCCCACGAGCUCGCAUGGGCUUGUGAGGAAAGGGUUUCCGCUUUGGGAGGGGCUCGCGGCCUAUCAGCUUGUUGGUGAGGUAACGGCUCACCAAGGCGACGACGGGUAGCUGGUCUGAGAGGACGAUCAGCCACACUGGGACUGAGACACGGCCCAGACUCCUACGGGAGGCAGCAGUGGGGAAUCUUGCGCAAUGGGCGAAAGCCUGACGCAGCAACGCCGCGUGGGGGAUGAAGGCCUUCGGGUUGUAAACCCCUUUCAGUGGGAACGAAAUUGACGGUACCCACAGAAGAAGCCCCGGCCAACUACGUGCCAGCAGCCGCGGUGAUACGUAGGGGGCGAGCGUUGUCCGGAUUUAUUGGGCGUAAAGAGCUCGUAGGCGGCUUGGUAAGUCGGGUGUGAAACCUCCAGGCUCAACCUGGAGACGCCACUCGAUACUGCCCUGGCUAGAGUCCGGUAGGGGAUCACGGAAUUCCUGGUGUAGCGGUGAAAUGCGCAGAUAUCAGGAGGAACACCAGUGGCGAAGGCGGUGAUCUGGGCCGGUACUGACGCUGAGGAGCGAAAGCGUGGGGAGCGAACAGGAUUAGAUACCCUGGUAGUCCACGCCGUAAACGUUGGGCACUAGGUGUGGGGCCUUAUCGACGGGUUCCGUGCCGCAGCUAACGCAUU
Molecule: ribosomal RNA, 846 nt
Filed under: Acidimicrobiaceae bacterium
Lineage: Bacteria; Bacillati; Actinomycetota; Acidimicrobiia; Acidimicrobiales; Acidimicrobiaceae
Description: bacterial SSU rRNA
Rfam family: Bacterial small subunit ribosomal RNA
Source: RNAcentral